UGAGCGGUAGUUCAGUCGGUUGCUUUCUGUUAAGAAUCAGCCGGCCUGUCACGCCGGGGGUCGCGGGUUCGAGUCCCGUCCGCUCCG
Molecule: transfer RNA, 87 nt
Filed under: Alishewanella agri BL06
Lineage: Bacteria; Pseudomonadati; Pseudomonadota; Gammaproteobacteria; Alteromonadales; Alteromonadaceae
Rfam family: tRNA
About the family: Transfer RNA (tRNA) molecules are approximately 80 nucleotides in length. Their secondary structure includes four short double-helical elements and three loops (D, anti-codon, and T loops).
Source: Rfam by way of RNAcentral